Molecule: non-coding RNA, 3734 nt
Organism: Sus scrofa (pig)
Lineage: Eukaryota; Metazoa; Chordata; Mammalia; Artiodactyla; Suidae
Source: RefSeq, a predicted model, not a curated record
CGGGCGCGAGAGGCGGGGCUGCGCUGAAGACCCGGGGCCUGUCCGCGGCUGCGCCUGCCGGGCCCCCUGUCCUGGGCUCUCCGCUACGCAGCGCUCGUUGGGACCGCUCGUGAGCACCUGCAGUGAGCGCUGGGCGGUGCGGGGACCCGCGAGCCCGACGGCCCCGAGAGAUCCGGAGGGCCAGCCCGCCUUUGCCCCGGGCGUGCGGGCGGCACGUGCAAAGGUCCGGGGGCAUACGCGGGACUGCUGGGUGCAGAGGCUGCGAGGGCCGCUAGCCGGGCAGGCGGCCGUGAGGGAUGGCAUCCGCCAGGGAAGGGAGCGACGAGGAGGUCAGGGAUGUCGCCCUGCUGCCAGAGCCGCCCCGGGGGCCCCUGCAGGCGGCCCGUGCCCGGGCCUCCUUCCCCUGGAGGGAGCUGGCGCUGUUCUGGGAGGGCGAGGACACCCUGCGUUUCAAGAACACCGUCUUCUCGGCUCUAGAGAACGACCCCCUCUUCUCCCCUCCCCGGGGCGGCGGGCUCCCGGUGGAGAAGUACCAGGAGGUGAACUUCCUGCGCUGCAAGCGGGUCUUGGAGUACAGCUUCCUCCGCGGGGAGGACCUGCUGUGGAGCCCGCAGAGGAUCUCGUCGCUGCUGCACUGCCUGGGCGCCUACGACUGGUCCUUGGCCAACAUGCUCAUCCUGCACCUGCUGAGUUUUGGAUCACUGAUUUACACCUCUGGUUCUGAAAGCCAUCUCAAAUACAUCCCAAAGAUCGUGAGCACAGAGAUUUUUGGGUGUUUUGCUCUGACCGAACUGAGUCACGGGAGUAAUACCAAGGCCAUCCGGACCACCGCUCACUACGACCCCACCACCGAGGAAUUCAUCAUACAUUCCCCUGACUUUGAAGCGGCCAAGUUCUGGGUCGGCAACAUGGGCAAGGUGGCGACUCACGCGGUGGUGUUUGCUCAGCUCUACACGCCCGGGGGCCAGUGCCACGGAAUACACCCCUUUAUCGUGCAGAUCCGGGACCCGAAGACCCUUCUCCCCAUGCCGGGGGUGAUGGUCGGCGACGUGGGGAGGAAGCUCGGGCAGAACGGCCUGGGCAACGGAUUCGCCAUGUUCCACCAGGUCCGGAUUCCGCGCCAGGACCUGCUGAACCACACGGCAGACGUCACCCCCGAGGGCACCUACGUCCCCAGACUCAAGGACGCCCGGCAGCGCUUCGGCCGGGCCCUGGGCAGCCUGUCCACAAGCCGGGUCUUUAUCGUGGCCUUGACCAUCAUCAACUUAAAGCUGGCCCUUUCCAUAGCUCUGCGCUUCUCGGCCACCCGGCGUCAGUUCGGACCUGCAGAUGGCGAGGAAGUGCCCGUGCUGGAGUACCAGACGCAGCAAUGGCGCCUGCUCCCGUACCUGGCCGCCACCUGGGCCCUGGACCACUUUUCCAGAUGCCUCUUCCUGGCUCUGCGGGAGCUGCAGCUAGGCUUUCUGAAGAACGACCAGAGCGCCAGGCAGGCCGAGCUAGGACGAGAGGUCCACGCCUUGUCGUCGGCCGGCAAGCCCCUGGCCUCGUGGACUGCCCAGCGGGGAAUUCAGGAGUGUCGGGAGGCGUGCGGAGGACAUGGCUAUCUGGCCGUGAACCGUCUGGGCGACCUCAGGGACGACAACGACCCCAACUGCACGUACGAAGGUGACAACAACCUCCUGCUGCAGCAGACCAGCAACUACCUGCUCAGCCUGUGGGAGCGCCGCAGCCAAGGUGGCGGCCGCAUUGAGAGCCCGCUUGAGACUGUGGACUUUCUGGACGCCUGUCCUGACAUCCUUGGCCAGAGGUUCGAAGGUUGCAGCCCUGAGGACUUCCUGGACUCCUCGGUCCCCCUGGCGGCGUACAAGUGGCUGGUUUGUUACCUGCUCCGGGAGAGUUACCAAAAGUUCAGUCAGGAGAAACAGUUGGGAAGCAGCGACUUCGAAGCGAGAAACAACUCUCAGGUGUACUACUGCCGCUCCCUGGCCCUGGCGUACCUGGAGCUCACGGUCGUGCGAAUGUUCCACCAGUUCACGCACCAGCCCCACGUGCCGCCCCCGCUGCAGCCGGUGCUCCGGCGGCUCAGCGCCCUCUACGCCCUGUGGUCCCUGAACCAGCACACGGCCCUGCUCUACCGCGGUGGCUACUUUUCUGGGGAGCAAGCGGGUAAAAUGGUGGAGAACGCCAUCCUGACCCUGUGUGCCCAGGAAGGGUCCCUUUCGGGGACUGUCCCAGCGUCUGCACACUUUCACUCUCUGCUCCCUCAGGGCUGUGGAUGAUUCGAGCAUUUCAAGUCAGCCUCCAACUUAGGUCCAUUUCCUGGUAUUUCACUUUUUUAUCGCAUCCUCCUCACUUGGUUACCCCAAAAAGUCGGACGGCCCAGCCCCACGCUGUGUCCUGGUGGCACCCUGCCUCCGGGACUUUCUACGGGGCUGGGCUGUCCCGUGCGGCCACCACUGGCCUCCAGGGCUGUUGGCAGUGGCAUCGUGGUGGGCGACUGAGGAGGGGCUGUUGGCAGGGGCACCGUGGCGGGGUGACUGAGGAGUCUUAGUUUUCUUUACCAUUAAACUGUCACACGUGUCUUGGCUGCCGUAUCCGGCACUGCAGCUGAAGCUUCCCUUUUUUUUCCCCCACACCCACAGCAUGCAGAAGUCCCCCGGGCCAGGGAUCAAACUGCGCCGCAGCAGGGACCUGAGCUGAGGCAGUGAUGCCAGAUCCUUAACCCAGUGGGCCACCAGGGGACUCCUGGAGGCUUGACUUUUGAUGGGAAGAUGAGAGUCAGAGCCCCCAGCAUUGUAUCACGAUGGUGACAGGCCCGUCAGUGCUCUCCCGUGCUGGGGACAAUGGCUUUCUGAUUGUAGCUCAGCCUCUCUGAGGGCUCCUUUCCCGAGCGCCCGUCUGUCUCCACAUGGGCUCCACCUGAAAGACGACUCUGUUGCCCUGGUGGAUGUGAUGGCCCCCCCUGACUUCAUCCUGGACUCACCGAUUGGCAGAGCCAAUGGCGAGCUCUACAAAAACCUCUGGGGCGCCGUGCUGCAGGGCAGCAAGGUGCUGGAGAGAGCCUCGUGGUGGUCUGACUUUGUUAACAAGCCUGUCAUAGGCGGUCUGAAAUCCAACCUGUAGAUGCACCAGCCCCGGAGGACAUGGCCUCGCGUUCAAGCUCUGAAGGCGCCAGUGCGGGCCGGGGCCGCUGCUGCGCCUGCUGCUCUGCGUGCGCCCGGCUGAUUGUCGUGUCGAGCCCGAGCAGGACCGGCCCUUCCUGGCCUGGGUCCCCCCGUGUCCCACCAGGGCAGGUAAAUGCCUAGCAGGCGGGGCUCAUUUGCAUGCAUCCUGAUUCUCUGGGUGAAAAGAACUCCUGUAUGACCCCGUCUUUCUGAUGGACUGGGCACUUUUUGGUCAUCAGAGCUUGGCACCUUCUAUUUUUAUAUGCCGAAUAAUAAGCGGAUUGCUCGGGAUGCGGGGUUUCCUGGUCCGGCGGUGUUUUGCCCUCGCCUGAGAAGUUUUUUAGCACAGCUCUGCUUCGCUAAACCCUGAGCAGUGCCAGUCUGAUUCUCUGUUCACUCUGCGUUGACUUUCUCCUGUAAUUAAACCAUAUCAUAACCUUACUCGAAUGCACCAAAUGACCUAGCGGAAGAUUUUUAAGAAAAUCAGUUUUAUUACUUUCUCGUGUGGAACUAGACGUUUCCAUCAAGGAAAUGUUUCCAAUGGAAAAAAUAAAUUCAUGAUGAUUUGAA